UACGUAGGUGGCAAGCGUUACUCGGAAUCACUGGGCAUAAAGGGCGUGUAGGCGGAUAUGUAAGUCCGGUGUAAAAUCCCCCGGCUCAACCGGGGAAGGCCAUCGGAGACUGCAUGUCUGGAGUGCGGGAGGGGAGAGUGGAACUCUUGGUGGAGCGGUGAAAUGCGUAGAUAUCAAGAGGAACGCCGGUGGCGAAAGCGGCUCUCUGGCCCGUUACUGACGCUGAGGCGCGAAAGCUAGGGGAGCAAACGGG
Molecule: ribosomal RNA, 253 nt
Filed under: uncultured bacterium
Lineage: Bacteria
Description: partial 16S ribosomal RNA
Rfam family: Bacterial small subunit ribosomal RNA
Source: RNAcentral